Molecule: long non-coding RNA, 221 nt
Filed under: Elaeis guineensis (African oil palm)
Lineage: Eukaryota; Viridiplantae; Streptophyta; Magnoliopsida; Arecales; Arecaceae
Description: long non-coding RNA (EGUI_LNC071935)
Source: RNAcentral
GUGGGAAAGAGCAUCACCAGAGUUUCAGAAUUCGGCAAUCAGGCGGCCCACUUGGGCCAGUCACCCUGUAUCCCAUAGAAAGGGGAAGCAGAGGGCGGAGAGCCCUCUGUCUGAUCAUGAUUCCACCCUCGAAGGGUCCCUACCUCCAUUCUACCAGAAGAUUCUCGAGAUUCGCGAUCGAGAGGAUCUCCUGGAUCAAAGGUUCCAAGAGAUGAACUGGC